Molecule: long non-coding RNA, 506 nt
Filed under: Phoenix dactylifera (date palm)
Lineage: Eukaryota; Viridiplantae; Streptophyta; Magnoliopsida; Arecales; Arecaceae
Description: long non-coding RNA (PDAC_LNC015484)
Source: RNAcentral
AUGUUAGAGCGACACUUGGCGACCAUCCACAUGGAAUGCACAAUGAAACAUCCGAAUCCUAAGCCGUCUGCGAUCCAUCCCAGCGUUCGUGAAGCGCCCAAUCCUCUCCACGUUCCAUCUUUUGGAAAUUGAGCGUCGGCGUCCUAGCCACCCCGUCUUCACUGCAUUCCAGCCGAGAUCAGCGCGUUCCAGCAGCCCGCAAUCGCCUCCCAGCAUCCCGCGGCAGUCUUCUUCAUCAGCAAUCCCAGCUCCCGUGCACAAUCCCAGCGUCCAACUCUUCACUGUCCGUGAGCCAGCGUCCGCCUCCUCCACUGAUUCCUCACAUCCCAAAUCCCAUGAAUAGUCCCAGCAUCCGCGAAGCACCCGCAAUCAACUCCCUUCUUCGUUCCGUUUCAACAUUCUCCCAGCAUCAUAGCCGAAAACAGCGUCCGAGCAACCCGCGGCCAGCCUGGAUCUGCCUCCCUGAUGACCGUUUUCUCCCAGAUUUCAUGAUCCCUUCCCGCAUC